This 403-nucleotide ribosomal RNA is filed under the name Verrucomicrobiota bacterium. RNAcentral describes it as "Verrucomicrobia bacterium partial 16S ribosomal RNA". It matches the Rfam family "Bacterial small subunit ribosomal RNA", at positions 355 to 776 of the family's 1533-position model. The record is from RNAcentral. Lineage: Bacteria; Pseudomonadati; Verrucomicrobiota.
UGGGGAAUAUUGCACAAUGGGCGCAAGCCUGAUGCAGCAACGCCGCGUGAACGAUGAAGGUCUUCGGAUCGUAAAGUUCUGUUGCAGGGGAAGAUAAUGACGGUACCCUGUGAGGAAGCCCCGGCUAAAUACGUGCCAGCAGCCGCGGUAAUACGUAGGGGGCUAGCGUUAUCCGGACUUACUGGGCGUAAAGGGUGCGUAGGUGGUCUUUCAAGUCGGUGGUUAAAGGCUACGGCUCAACCGUAGUUAGCCUCCGAAACUGGAAGACUUGAGUGCAGGAGAGGAAAGUGGAAUUCCCAGUGUAGCGGUGAAAUGCGUAGAUAUUGGGAGGAACACCAGUAGCGAAGGCGGCUUUCUGGACUGCAACUGACACUGAGGCACGAAAGCGUGGGUAGCAAACAGG